RNAcentral lists this ribosomal RNA (1097 nucleotides) under Musumecia bettlachensis. RNAcentral's name for it is "eukaryotic LSU rRNA". It matches the Rfam family "Eukaryotic large subunit ribosomal RNA", at positions 56 to 1118 of the family's 3401-position model. Lineage: Eukaryota; Fungi; Basidiomycota; Agaricomycetes; Agaricales; Pseudoclitocybaceae. The record is from RNAcentral.
AAAAAGAAACUAACAAGGAUUCCCCUAGUAACUGCGAGUGAAGCGGGAAAAGCUCAAAUUUAAAAUCUGGCGGUCUUUGUGGCUGUCCGAGUUGUAAUCUAGAGAAGUGUUAUCCGCGCUGGACCGUGUACAAGUCCUCUGGAAUGGGGCAUCAUAGAGGGUGAGAAUCCCGUCUUUGACACGGACUGCCAGGGCUUUUGUGAUGCGCUCUCAAAGAGUCGAGUUGUUUGGGAAUGCAGCUCAAAAUGGGUGGUAAAUUCCAUCUAAAGCUAAAUAUUGGCGAGAGACCGAUAGCGAACAAGUACCGUGAGGGAAAGAUGAAAAGAACUUUGGAAAGAGAGUUAAACAGUACGUGAAAUUGUUGAAAGGGAAACGCUUGAAGUCAGUCGCAUCAGCUAGGGAUCAACCUUGCUUUUUUGCUGGGUGUACUUUCUGGUUGAUGGGUCAGCAUCAAUUUCAACUGUUGGAUAAAAGUUAGGGGAAUGUGGCAUCUUUGGAUGUGUUAUAGCCCUUGAUUGCAUACAACGGUGGGAUUGAGGAACUCAGCACGCCGCAAGGCUGGGUAUUUAUACCACAUACGUGCUUAGGAUGUUGGCAUAAUGGCUUUAAUCGACCCGUCUUGAGACACGUACCAAGGAGUCUAACAUGCUUGCGAGUAUUUGGGUGGUACACCCAGAUGCAUAAUGAAAGUGAUAGUUGAGAUCCCUGUCAUGGGGAGCAUCGACGCCCUGGUACUUGAAGUUUAUCUGAUGGUUCCGCGGUAGAGCAUGUAUGUUGGGACCCGUAAGAUGGUGAACUAUGCCUGAAUAGGGUGAAGCCAGAGGAAACUCUGGUGGAGGCUCGUAGCGAUUCAUGACGUGCAAAUCGAUCGUCGAAUGUUGGGUAUAGGGGCGAAAGACUAAUCGAACCAUACUAGUAGCUGGUUCCUGCCGAAGUUUCCCUCAGAGAUAGCAGAAGACUCAUGUCAGAUUUAUGUGGUAAAGCAGAUAUGAUUAGAGGCCUUGGGGUUGAAACAACCUUAACACCUAUUCUCAAACUUUAACAUCAAUGUAAGAACGAGCUGUACUCCUUGAUUGGAUCUGCUCGGUGAGUUGAGA